UACGAAGGGGGCUAGCGUUGCUCGGAAUCACUGGGCGUAAAGGGUGCGUAGGCGGGUCUUUAAGUCAGGGGUGAAAUCCUGGAGCUCAACUCCAGAACUGCCUUUGAUACUGAGGAUCUUGAGUUCGGGAGAGGUGAGUGGAACUGCGAGUGUAGAGGUGAAAUUCGUAGAUAUUCGCAAGAACACUAGUGGCGAAGGCGGCUCACUGGCCCGGUACUGACGCUGGAGGUGCGAA
Molecule: ribosomal RNA, 235 nt
Filed under: uncultured bacterium
Lineage: Bacteria
Description: partial 16S ribosomal RNA
Rfam family: Bacterial small subunit ribosomal RNA
Source: RNAcentral